CUCAGGAUGAACGCUAGCGGCAGGCUUAACACAUGCAAGUCGAGGGGUAUAGUUCUUCGGAGCUAGAGACCGGCGCACGGGUGCGUAACGCGUAUGCAAUCUACCUUUUACAGAGGGAUAGCCCAGAGAAAUUUGGAUUAAUACCUCAUAGCAUAGCAGCUUCGCAUGAAGCCACUAUUAAAGUCACAACGGUAAAAGAUGAGCAUGCGUCCCAUUAGCUAGUUGGUAAGGUAACGGCUUACCAAGGCUACGAUGGGUAGGGGUCCUGAGAGGGAGAUCCCCCACACUGGUACUGAGACACGGACCAGACUCCUACGGGAGGCAGCAGUGAGGAAUAUUGGACAAUGGGCGCAAGCCUGAUCCAGCCAUGCCGCGUGCAGGAUGACGGUCCUAUGGAUUGUAAACUGCUUUUAUACGAGAAGAAACA
Molecule: ribosomal RNA, 427 nt
Filed under: Flavobacteriaceae bacterium JJ-548
Lineage: Bacteria; Pseudomonadati; Bacteroidota; Flavobacteriia; Flavobacteriales; Flavobacteriaceae
Description: bacterial SSU rRNA
Rfam family: Bacterial small subunit ribosomal RNA
Source: RNAcentral